This 513-nucleotide ribosomal RNA is filed under the name uncultured bacterium. RNAcentral describes it as "partial 16S ribosomal RNA". It matches the Rfam family "Bacterial small subunit ribosomal RNA", at positions 28 to 507 of the family's 1533-position model. The record is from RNAcentral.
GACGAACGCUGGCGGCGUGCUUAACACAUGCAAGUCGAACGAAAAGAGGGAAAGAGCUUGCUCUUUCCGGAAUUGAGUGGCAAACGGGUGAGUAACACGUAAACAACCUGCCUUCAGGAUGGGGACAACAGACGGAAACGACUGCUAAUACCGAAUAAGUUCCAAGGGCCGCAUGGCCCAUGGAAGAAAAGGUGGCCUCUACCUGUAAGCUAUCGCCUGAAGAGGGGUUGGCGUCUGAUUAGCUGGUUGGAGGGGUAACGGCCCACCAAGGCGACGAUCAGUAGCCGGUCUGAGAGGAUGAACGGCCACACUGGCAUUGAGACACGGUCCAGACUCCUACGGGAGGCAGCAGUGGGGAAUCUUCCGCCAUGGGCGAAAGCCUGACGGAGCAACGCCGCGUGAGUGAUGACGGCCUUCGGGUUGUAAAACUCUGUGAUCCGGGACGAAAAGGCAGAGUGCGAAGAACAAACUGCAUUGACGGUACCGGAAAAGCAAGCCACGGCUAACUACGUG